Molecule: ribosomal RNA, 497 nt
Filed under: uncultured bacterium
Lineage: Bacteria
Description: partial 16S ribosomal RNA
Rfam family: Bacterial small subunit ribosomal RNA
Source: RNAcentral
GACGAACGCUGGCGGCGUGCCUAAUACAUGCAAGUUGAGCGCUGAAGGUUGGUACUUGUACCAACUGGAUGAGCAGCGAACGGGUGAGUAACGCGUGGGGAAUCUGCCUUUGAGCGGGGGACAACAUUUGGAAACGAAUGCUAAUACCGCAUAAAAACUUUAAACACAAGUUUUAAGUUUGAAAGAUGCAAUUGCAUCACUCAAAGAUGAUCCCGCGUUGUAUUAGCUAGUUGGUGAGGUAAAGGCUCACCAAGGCGAUGAUACAUAGCCGACCUGAGAGGGUGAUCGGCCACAUUGGGACUGAGACACGGCCCAAACUCCUACGGGAGGCAGCAGUAGGGAAUCUUCGGCCAUAGACGAAAGUCUGACCGAGCAACGCCGCGUGAGUGAAGAAGGUUUUCGGAUCGUAAAACUCUGUUGGUAGAGAAGAACGUUGGUGAGAGUGGAAAGCUCAUCAAGUGACGGUAACUACCCAGAAAGGGACGGCUAACUACGUG